Non-coding RNA from Peromyscus maniculatus bairdii (prairie deer mouse), 586 nucleotides. NCBI's taxonomy places the organism in Eukaryota, Metazoa, Chordata, Mammalia, Rodentia, Cricetidae. The record is from RefSeq and is a predicted model, not a curated record.
GAGGUUCCUGCGGGUGAGUCCCGUGUCUGCCACACUUCCAUCAAAGUUAAGCUGAGGCGCGGCCAGCAGCCCGCUCACACCUGCACAGACUCCCCAGGUGUGCUUCCUCUGUCCUUACCGCUCUCAGCCGCAUCGUGCUUCUGAAAUUCCGCAAGCAGGUCUGAGGAAUGAGCAAAUAAGUUUUGCCGCAGGGCUCUCAGGGCUGACUCCUCCACCCUGCUGAUCCUGGAACCCGAAGAGAAGAGGUUUGUGAAAAGCCGAGUCUAAGUUUGACUGAAUCAUUAAAGAAGGCUGUUCUGUAAACUGAAACCGGGCCUCUCAGGAAGUACUCGUUCCCCCUGAAGCCCUCCUCUCCAUGGGAGGCGAUAAUAAACAGUUGUUCAACCCAGGGACACCACCAUCAAACCAGCAGGGCGCAGACUGCCUCCCUCCCUUCAGAGUAGCUGCGCUGAGUUCUGUUUCUUAGGGAAUUCAUCUACCAACACGAAAUGGAUAAAACGAAAUAGGUGCAUUUCACAAACUCAGUGUGAGGUGAUGUAUGUAAAUUCUUUAUAACUCUCACCAUACAGUAAGUUCUCAUCUAGGU